RNAcentral lists this transfer-messenger RNA (415 nucleotides) under Anaerolineae. RNAcentral's name for it is "JACKCB01 sp020634235 Standard tmRNA". It matches the Rfam family "transfer-messenger RNA". Rfam says of the family: Bacterial tmRNA, also known as 10Sa RNA or SsrA, is named for its dual tRNA and mRNA-like properties. Its role is to liberate the mRNA from a stalled ribosome. RNAcentral also lists the same sequence under 2 other names. The record is from RNAcentral. Lineage: Bacteria; Bacillati; Chloroflexota.
GGGGAUGAUAGGUCUCGACGGGGAAGGUUGAUCCUGGACUGCAAGCCGAGCACGCUUCUCAACUCGUAAAUCUGGAAGCAAACAAUUAAGUGCCAACAAUAAUGUUGCCUACAACGCUCUUCCGCUCGCUGCCUAAUUAAGCAACGAAAGGAUUAGCAACAGGUGUCCAAGGCGGACACCGCGUCUGUCUCAACUGCUCAUUGGCCGGGCGAGAACGGGCGUAACGCUAGCCAAUGUGCGCCGCCGCGACGCCGAUAGCGACGGGUAAGCGGCCCUUUCGGGGGUCAUCGACUAGCUGCGAAGGCAACCCGGCCGGGUGGGGGCCUCGCAGUGAAAACAAAUUACCGGGCUAAGCUUGUAGACGUUCAGAGGUCGAAUUUUUCGGACGCGGGUUCGAUUCCCGCCAUCUCCACCU